GACGAACGCUGGCGGCGUGCUUAACACAUGCAAGUCGAACGGAAAGGCCCUGCUUUUGUGGGGUGCUCGAGUGGCGAACGGGUGCGUAACACGUGAGUAACCUGCCCUUGACUUUGGGAUAACUUCAGGAAACUGGUGCUAAUACCGGAUAGGAGCUCCUGCUGCUUGGUGGGGGUUGGAAAGUUUCGGCGGUUGGGGAUUGACUCGCGGCUUAUCAGCUUGUCGGUGGGGUAGUUGCUUACCAAGGUGUUGACGGGUCGCCGGCCUGGGAGGGUGACCGGCCACAUUGGGACUGAGGUACGACCCAGACUGCUACGGGGGGAAGCAGUGGGAAAUAGUGCACAAUGGGCGGAAGCCUGAUGCAGCAACGCCGCGUGCGGGAUGACGGUCUUCGGGUUGUAAACCGCGUUCGCCUGGAACGAAGCGUGAGUGACGGUAAUGUGUAAGGAAGCACCGGCUAACUACGUG
RNAcentral lists this ribosomal RNA (468 nucleotides) under uncultured bacterium. Its description in RNAcentral is "partial 16S ribosomal RNA". It matches the Rfam family "Bacterial small subunit ribosomal RNA", at positions 28 to 507 of the family's 1533-position model. The record is from RNAcentral.